UCCGGUUUGUCACCGGCAGUCUCAUUAGAGUGCCCAACUGAAUGUAGCAACUAAUGACAAGGGUUGCGCUCGUUGCGGGACUUAAGGCAACACCUCACGGCACGAGCUGACGACAGCCAUGCACCACCUGUGCAGGCUCCGAAGAGCGCCCGCUUUCACGGGUUUCACCCUGCAUGUCAAGCCCAGGUAAGGUUCUUCGCGUCGCAUCGAAUUAAGCAACAUGCUCCGCCGCUUGUGCGGGGCCCCGUCAAUUCCUUUGAGUUUUAGCCUUGCGGCCGUACUUCCCAGGCGGGGUGCUUAAUGCGUUUGCUACGGCACCACAGGGGUCAAUACCCGCAACAUCUAGCACCCAUCGUUUACGGCGUGGACUAC
Molecule: unclassified non-coding RNA, 372 nt
Filed under: uncultured Actinomycetes bacterium
Lineage: Bacteria; Bacillati; Actinomycetota; Actinomycetes
Description: uncultured actinobacterium contains 16S-23S intergenic spacer region
Source: RNAcentral